CGGUGGAGCAUGUGGUUUAAUUCGAAGCAACGCGAAGAACCUUACCAGGCCUUGACAUGCAGAGAACUUUCCAGAGAUGGAUUGGUGCCUUCGGGAACUCUGACACAGGUGCUGCAUGGCUGUCGUCAGCUCGUGUCGUGAGAUGUUGGGUUAAGUCCCGUAACGAGCGCAACCCUACCUUUAGUUGCCAUCAGGUAAUGCUGGGGACUCUAAAGGAACUGCCUACGCAAGUAGUGAGGAAGGCGGGGAUGACGUCAAAUCAGCACGGCCCUUACGUCCAGGGCUACACACGUGCUACAAUGGCCGAUACAGAGGGCAGCUACCUGGUGACAGGAUGCAAAUCUCCAAAGUCGGUCUCAGUUCGGAUCGGAGUCUGCAACCCGACUCCGUGAAGUUGGAUUCGCUAGUAAUCGCGCAUCAGCCAUGGCGCGGUGAAUACGUUCCCGGGCCUU
RNAcentral lists this ribosomal RNA (452 nucleotides) under uncultured Sphingobacteriales bacterium. Its description in RNAcentral is "bacterial SSU rRNA". It matches the Rfam family "Bacterial small subunit ribosomal RNA", at positions 930 to 1382 of the family's 1533-position model. The record is from RNAcentral. Lineage: Bacteria; Pseudomonadati; Bacteroidota; Sphingobacteriia; Sphingobacteriales.